Molecule: long non-coding RNA, 1164 nt
Filed under: Anser cygnoides (Swan goose)
Lineage: Eukaryota; Metazoa; Chordata; Aves; Anseriformes; Anatidae
Description: lncRNA (ENSACDG00005007080.1)
Source: RNAcentral
AUGAAGACUCUCUCCUCUUUUUUGCAGAAAGUAAUAACCUUCCUGAUGACCACGUCUUUUCUAGGAGAAAUAACAGGCGAAACUUUCUUUCAUCGACAAGAACAUGAAAAUCUUGCACUUCAGUGCAAUCAGCAAGCUGCUAAAGGAAAAGCAGAAAUAGCUUGGUAUAUAGCAGACAACAAUCUGCAGCAAUUUAACUUAAUUAACUGCUCUUCCAAGGAGUCUACUUUCUCAUGUGGAAAAAAAGGGGGACCUUCAGGCUGCAAUGAUACCUUACAAGUGACCCACAUAUCCCCUGAAGGAGGGCUGUUUGCAUGUGGAGCAGUUCCUAAUGGUGGAACACCAGCAACUUGCCCGCUGUUUCACAAUGUCUCUCACUGCAGGCACUACGACUUCUUUCUUACACAGACGAUUUACUCCACACAAGAAAGCAAGUCCUUAGACAGUGUUCCUGAAACACCAUACAGCAGCCUGGUAUUUGAAGACAACAUCACUUUGUCAUGUGAAUUUGAAACUACCUGCUCAGGAGAAUGUUUUACUCUGUAUUGGAUCAGAGCUGCAAAAAGAAGUGAAUGCAUUUUUUCUCUAGCAAAUGAAGCUGGGACCUCACAUUUGACUUACAAUGAGCAUUGCUGUAUUGAUGAAGACAUCCAUGGACGAUUAUUGAACAAUACCGACUUCAGUUCAACUGACAAAAAAAGUAAUGUGACUAUUCUGAAUGUUACUAGUUCUGACAGUGGAGAAUAUUUAUGCAUUGUUACUACCUGGAUAAAUGGCAAAUAUGUGUGGAGAGUUGCUAAUAACCUGUCUGUGGAAGUUCGGAAAGACAAAACUACAUAUAUACAGUGGUAUAUCGCCUCUGGAGCUAUAGCUGGGAUUAUUUUUCUGUGUGUCAUAACAUGGCUAACCUAUCUCAAGACAGCCAAAUCAAAAGGAAAAAAAUCAUCCACAGAAUUUACCAGAUAUUAUGAUGUUGUUGGAAUGCCAGAAGAUGAAUGUUCUCCAUAUGCAACAAGUUGUGUCAGUGACAUGCAAAGAAGUGAGCACCUUUAUUGCCACGUAACAGGGACUUACGCGAAAGUCUCUGCCACAGAUAACAACAAGGCUUCUGGGACAGGACUGGAAGCAGAUAUACAUACAGUAUAUGCAUAUGCUGGUGAAUAA